This 249-nucleotide ribosomal RNA is filed under the name uncultured Actinomycetales bacterium. RNAcentral's name for it is "partial 16S ribosomal RNA". It matches the Rfam family "Bacterial small subunit ribosomal RNA", at positions 82 to 334 of the family's 1533-position model. The record is from RNAcentral. Lineage: Bacteria; Bacillati; Actinomycetota; Actinomycetes; Actinomycetales.
CUGGGGUACACGAGUGGCGAACGGGUGAGUAACACGUGGGUGACCUGCCCUGCACUUCGGGAUAAGCCUGGGAAACUGGGUCUAAUACCGGAUAGGACCAUGGUGUGGAUACUGUGGUGGAAAGUUUUUUCGGUGUGGGAUGGGCCCGCGGCCUAUCAGCUUGUUGGUGGGGUAAUGGCCUACCAAGGCGUCGACGGGUAGCCGGCCUGAGAGGGUGUACGGCCACAUUGGGACUGAGAUACGGCCCAG